CCUACGGGUGGCAGCAGUAGGGAAUAUUGCGCAAUGGAAGAAACCCUGACGGAGCAACGCCGCGUGGGUGAAGAAGGUUUUCGGAUUGUAAACCCCUGUUGUUAGAGAAGAUAAUGGCGGUAUCUAACGGAUAGUCCCCGGCUCACUCCUUACCAGCAGCCGAGGUAAUACGUAGGUUGCAAGCGUUACCCGGAAUGACUGGGCGUAAAGAGAUCGGAGGCGGGAGAGCAAGUCAGAUGUGAAAUCCUCUGGCUCAACCAUAGAACUGCAUUUGAAACUGGUAGUCUAGAGUAUGGAAGAGGUAGGUGGAAUUCCAUGUGUAGGGGUAAAAUCCGUAGAUAUAAAGAGGAAGACCAGUGGCGAAGGCGACCUGCUAGACCAUAACUGACGCUGAGGCUCGAAAGCGUGGGGAGCAAACAGGAUUAGAUACCCUAGUAGUC
This 440-nucleotide ribosomal RNA is filed under the name uncultured bacterium. Its description in RNAcentral is "partial 16S ribosomal RNA". It matches the Rfam family "Bacterial small subunit ribosomal RNA", at positions 338 to 795 of the family's 1533-position model. The record is from RNAcentral.